GGGAAGUCAGCCUGCCAUAACAGGCAUUGGACGAUGUGGUGAUCUCCGGUGAGCUUUACUACCGAAGCAAGCUAUCCUGGACCAAGAAACUAGCAGCCUUGACCAGGCAGGCUAGUCUGCUAUAAGGUUGACAAGCUGGACACUCGGCCCUCGCUUGUAAUCAUAUUGAUGGGAUAUCUAGCCACAGCCCACAAGCGUGACGGUAGGCAGAGCUACGAGAUUCACCUGGACCAUGACAGCUUUGAGUCUCAUCAGUCCCUGGAGUGGGCCGAUAUCUGCACCUUAAUGCCACAACUGAAGGUCAGAGAGCCCCAGUACCUGUUGCCCAUCUAACAAGAGAAGCCCUGUCGGACAAAACUGACCCACUCCCUUACAGACUAACCACGG
This is a long non-coding RNA of Mya arenaria, 387 nucleotides long. RefSeq lists it as uncharacterized. NCBI's taxonomy places the organism in Eukaryota, Metazoa, Mollusca, Bivalvia, Myida, Myidae. The transcript has 3 exons. The record is from RefSeq and is a predicted model, not a curated record.